This 1086-nucleotide long non-coding RNA is filed under the name Cervus hanglu yarkandensis (Yarkand deer). RNAcentral's name for it is "lncRNA (ENSCHYG00000018891.1)". The record is from RNAcentral. Lineage: Eukaryota; Metazoa; Chordata; Mammalia; Artiodactyla; Cervidae.
GGCUCUCGUUUCCGCAGGGCCAGCAGGCUGCAGCCCCUGGACGGACGCAGACCUGGGACACCCAGCGCUGCUCCCACCACACUCGCUGGUCAGACAGUGCACCCGCCAGGCCGGGCUGGAUCACAGCACCUUGUGUUUACUGGAAAGCCCAGCAUUCUGGGAAAACUGAGCUUGUCCAUCCUUCAAAACUCAGUUGCUUCAAUUAGCAGCUGUCUGGGUGAGAGACGAUGGGGGCACGUGGCUCCUAAGGAAGCAGGACGGAGGUGCUUGUAGCCAUGGGACCCCGCGGCCCACAGGGAGCCUCAGCCGGGAGAGAGGACUCAGCACGACCAGGGUCUCCUGGUCACGGCAUUCGCGCAUCGCAGCAGGACAGACAUUGCAGGAGAUGGCGAGGUGUACCCGGGACCUCUCUGCACUGAGCGAAACCUCACAUGAAGGUGUAAUUAUUUGAAAAUAAAAAGGUUUUGUGAAAGCAAGCUGUUUUAAUAGUUUACCCAACAGACUCGAUGUGGUAAAGAGGUUGCCCUGUCAUGGCAGUGAGGAGCCAAGCGGGACCCUCAACCUCCUCCUUGGUGACCCUCUGCCCCAGGCCCUCUGCUCGCCUGUGGAGCAGCUGGGGGAAGGCAAGUAAGGCACAGUUAGGACUGAUGGCAGAGCCUGGAUGGAUGGAGGCGCAGUCAUCCUCCGGGCCCUGGCCCCGCCGUCACACCCGGGGCGGGAGGCGUGGACGAGCCACCGUCCACUCCAGGCCCCUGGAAGACGGCUACACGUGGGCUGGAGGAGCGGGGAGGGGCGGGGCGAGCCUGGCUGAGCUGCGGCCGCACUUAGGACGCUCUUCACAGGAGGAGGGGGCAGGUGCCCCGUGCUGCUCUCCAGGCGGGAAGCAGGCAGGGCCCGAGACCACAGCCAGCCGGCUUCUCCCCGCCUUGAGCAGGCCGGGGGUGUGCAGUGAGGGGCUGUGCCCACCCCUUCCUGGGGGGCUGUGGGGGGAAGGAGUGUGAGCACUGAGUUGUCAGAAGCUAUCAGCAGCCUUUUGCCUUCAACCUUUCCCAGCAUCAGGGUCUUUUCCAAUGAGUCAGCUCUUCA